This 64-nucleotide transfer RNA is filed under the name uncultured Methanosphaera sp. It matches the Rfam family "tRNA", at positions 5 to 66 of the family's 71-position model. Rfam says of the family: Transfer RNA (tRNA) molecules are approximately 80 nucleotides in length. Their secondary structure includes four short double-helical elements and three loops (D, anti-codon, and T loops). Further hydrogen bonds mediate the characteristic L-shaped molecular structure. tRNAs have two regions of fundamental functional importance: the anti-codon, which is responsible for specific mRNA codon recognition, and the 3' end, to which the tRNAs corresponding amino acid is attached (by aminoacyl-tRNA synthetases). tRNAs cope with the degeneracy of the genetic code in two manners: having more than one tRNA (with a specific anti-codon) for a particular amino acid; and 'wobble' base-pairing, i.e. permitting non-standard base-pairing at the 3rd anti-codon position. Lineage: Archaea; Methanobacteriati; Methanobacteriota; Methanobacteria; Methanobacteriales; Methanobacteriaceae. The record is from RNAcentral.
CAGUAGCUCAGUCGGUGGAGCGCUUGACUUGUAAUCAAGCGGUCGGGGGUUCAAUUCCCUCCUG